This is a non-coding RNA of Pelobates cultripes (western spadefoot toad), 609 nucleotides long. The record is from the annotation of a GenBank genome assembly. NCBI's taxonomy places the organism in Eukaryota, Metazoa, Chordata, Amphibia, Anura, Pelobatidae.
UGAAAAUAUUGUUAAUUUCCUGAAUUUAACAGGAAAUUAUGAAGGUGGCAGUCACAUAGUACUAAUUUAAGGAGUCAUCUGUUAAACUGCUGAAAUCCCAUAUCUUAUGGUUGCUCUUACAGCUGAGUAGCAGAUAACUCCCGAACUUGUCCUUACAUGGAAUUGCCAAAAGGAUACCAAUAACCUAAUGUGGCAAACUCCCUUUUUUACCUGAGUUUGCCAAGAGCUCCUGGAGGAGCCUGCUUGCCAGCCUCCUGCCCAUAGACUAUGGACCCUGUGAAAAAUAAUGUAAAAAGUCUCUGUUCGUGCUAUUAGGAUUAUAUGGACAAACCAGAGACUACUCUGGAGCUUGUUUACACCUAUUAACACCUUGGAACGUUUCUCACUGCAGUGUUCUAAUUGUUCGUCUGGGUUGCCGCAAUUCCUAUGAACAACCACAAGGUGGCAGCCAUCUUGUUCGCAUGAACGCAGGCAGCGGUGUCUGGGCAUGAAUCUCCUGGAACUAAAAUCAGCUACAGAAACUCCAGAACACCGCUGGACUUCCAUCAUCGCCUGUGUUCAGUUUUAUACCAGCUGGAAGAGCACUGUUCGGUAGGAUCAUUCGUCUGG